This is a transfer RNA of Ovis aries (sheep), 72 nucleotides long. It matches the Rfam family "tRNA". Rfam says of the family: Transfer RNA (tRNA) molecules are approximately 80 nucleotides in length. The record is from Rfam. NCBI's taxonomy places the organism in Eukaryota, Metazoa, Chordata, Mammalia, Artiodactyla, Bovidae.
UCCCUGGUGGCUUAGAUGGUAAAGCGUUUGCCUACAAUGCCAGAGACCUGGGUGCAAUCCCUGGGUUGGGAA